CCAGUGGUAGUUCAAUGAUAGAAUGCUUGCCUUCCAUGUGAGAGAUCUGGGUUCAAUUCCCGGCAUUGCA
This 70-nucleotide transfer RNA is filed under the name Loxodonta africana (African savanna elephant). It matches the Rfam family "tRNA". From Rfam's summary of the family: Transfer RNA (tRNA) molecules are approximately 80 nucleotides in length. The record is from Rfam by way of RNAcentral. Lineage: Eukaryota; Metazoa; Chordata; Mammalia; Proboscidea; Elephantidae.